Molecule: long non-coding RNA, 8562 nt
Organism: Hordeum vulgare subsp. vulgare (domesticated barley)
Lineage: Eukaryota; Viridiplantae; Streptophyta; Magnoliopsida; Poales; Poaceae
Exons: 14
Source: RefSeq, a predicted model, not a curated record
CUCCGUCGGAUGCAGGAGUACUGGGCCUCCGUCGGAUGCGCCGUCAUGCAGUGCAGCAACACCAAAUCACCACCCUUUUCCUCUCUUCUACUCCUACUUGUAUCCGCCAGCUAUGUAGAUUCACCAGCAGCAGCAUCAAUCAAUGGCUGAUAGAUAUAAUGACGGUUCUUGAUUUUCCCAAUCAAUCCAUCGAGCAGGUCGGCGCCGGGACGAUGAACCCCCUCACCUUCAUCCGGGUGCUGGGCCGCGAGCCGUGGAACGUCGCGUGAGUGACCCGACCCUGCAUCUUAUCCAUUCAACCGGUGCAGCUCGCUAGGAUGCUCAGGCGAUAGGUUUGUUCUUUCCAUUAGUUCGAUUGAUUCAGGUUUGUCUCGGAUGGUUUGGGUUCAAGGCAUCUUUGAUGCUAUUGUACGGUGGCAUGUAUGUGAUUUACUUCUUUUGUUUGUUCUCUCGACCCUGUCACUCUCCGUUGGAUUUUGGGAGUUUGCCCUGCUAUCCAUCUGUGUGAUGCAGUCCUCCUUUCCAUGUCCUUUUGUUCUUUUUAUUGUGUUUUUUGGUCUUGCUUACAAUUUGUUGGUCAUGCUUAACAUACUCUUGCCUGUAGUUAGACAUUUGUAGCUGAAAGAGAAGUAUAUUAUGCAAUACAGAGGAACUCUAUGAAUUACUCUUUGCCUGGUAACCUUUUUCUAUAUUUACAUUUGUUUCAGGUCCUAUUGGAGUUUAUCUACUGCAAAUGUUCUGCUGCGAUUUAGCUCGGAGCGCUGCCUCGAGUGCUUAGUUUCGUCUUGCCGAGGUUUCAUUUUCCUCUUCCAACCUUAUUUUCUUGUGCUUGUAUUAUAUUCAGUCUUUUAAUCAAUUCUAACUGCGUGUGUUCCGUGCGUUGUGUUCUUUCUUACCUGUUGUUGCUCUCUCCCUUCUCCUUUUCACUCAUUUCUUUGAUUUAACGACAUAAUAUCUCAUCUUUGUUCGUGUAGAUUCAUUUUUGUAUCUACCUAUGAGGCGGUUGAUGAAAAUCCAAGAUACUGCAGUGGCAGAUUAAUAUAUGUGUAACAAAUUAUGCUUGAUAAUCUGCCCAAAAUUUUCAUGACAUUUAGUCUCGGUCCUUGAUUAUUUUCUUUCGAAGGAGGGUUCCAGGAGUACUGGGCCUCCGUCGGAUGCAGGAGUACUGGGCCUCCGUCGGAUGCGCCGUCAUGCAGUGCAGCAACACCAAAUCACCACCCUUUUCCUCUCUUCUACUCCUACUUGUAUCCGCCAGCUAUGUAGAUUCACCAGCAGCAGCAUCAAUCAAUGGCUGAUAGAUAUAAUGACGGUUCUUGAUUUUCCCAAUCAAUCCAUCGAGCAGGUCGGCGCCGGGACGAUGAACCCCCUCACCUUCAUCCGGGUGCUGGGCCGCGAGCCGUGGAACGUCGCCCGGUGCAGCUCGCUAGGAUGCUCAGGCGAUAGGUUUGUUCUUUCCAUUAGUUCGAUUGAUUCAGGUUUGUCUCGGAUGGUUUGGGUUCAAGGCAUCUUUGAUGCUAUUGUACGGUGGCAUGUAUGUGAUUUACUUCUUUUGUUUGUUCUCUCGACCCUGUCACUCUCCGUUGGAUUUUGGGAGUUUGCCCUGCUAUCCAUCUGUGUGAUGCAGUCCUCCUUUCCAUGUCCUUUUGUUCUUUUUAUUGUGUUUUUUGGUCUUGCUUACAAUUUGUUGGUCAUGCUUAACAUACUCUUGCCUGUAGUUAGACAUUUGUAGCUGAAAGAGAAGUAUAUUAUGCAAUACAGAGGAACUCUAUGAAUUACUCUUUGCCUGGUAACCUUUUUCUAUAUUUACAUUUGUUUCAGGUCCUAUUGGAGUUUAUCUACUGCAAAUGUUCUGCUGCGAUUUAGCUCGGAGCGCUGCCUCGAGUGCUUAGUUUCGUCUUGCCGAGGUUUCAUUUUCCUCUUCCAACCUUAUUUUCUUGUGCUUGUAUUAUAUUCAGUCUUUUAAUCAAUUCUAACUGCGUGUGUUCCGUGCGUUGUGUUCUUUCUUACCUGUUGUUGCUCUCUCCCUUCUCCUUUUCACUCAUUUCUUUGAUUUAACGACAUAAUAUCUCAUCUUUGUUCGUGUAGAUUCAUUUUUGUAUCUACCUAUGAGGCGGUUGAUGAAAAUCCAAGAUACUGCAGUGGCAGAUUAAUAUAUGUGUAACAAAUUAUGCUUGAUAAUCUGCCCAAAAUUUUCAUGACAUUUAGUCUCGGUCCUUGAUUAUUUUCUUUCGAAGGAGGGUUCCAGGAGUACUGGGCCUCCGUCGGAUGCAGGAGUACUGGGCCUCCGUCGGAUGCGCCGUCAUGCAGUGCAGCAACACCAAAUCACCACCCUUUUCCUCUCUUCUACUCCUACUUGUAUCCGCCAGCUAUGUAGAUUCACCAGCAGCAGCAUCAAUCAAUGGCUGAUAGAUAUAAUGACGGUUCUUGAUUUUCCCAAUCAAUCCAUCGAGCAGGUCGGCGCCGGGACGAUGAACCCCCUCACCUUCAUCCGGGUGCUGGGCCGCGAGCCGUGGAACGUCGCCCGGUGCAGCUCGCUAGGAUGCUCAGGCGAUAGGUUUGUUCUUUCCAUUAGUUCGAUUGAUUCAGGUUUGUCUCGGAUGGUUUGGGUUCAAGGCAUCUUUGAUGCUAUUGUACGGUGGCAUGUAUGUGAUUUACUUCUUUUGUUUGUUCUCUCGACCCUGUCACUCUCCGUUGGAUUUUGGGAGUUUGCCCUGCUAUCCAUCUGUGUGAUGCAGUCCUCCUUUCCAUGUCCUUUUGUUCUUUUUAUUGUGUUUUUUGGUCUUGCUUACAAUUUGUUGGUCAUGCUUAACAUACUCUUGCCUGUAGUUAGACAUUUGUAGCUGAAAGAGAAGUAUAUUAUGCAAUACAGAGGAACUCUAUGAAUUACUCUUUGCCUGGUAACCUUUUUCUAUAUUUACAUUUGUUUCAGGUCCUAUUGGAGUUUAUCUACUGCAAAUGUUCUGCUGCGAUUUAGCUCGGAGCGCUGCCUCGAGUGCUUAGUUUCGUCUUGCCGAGGUUUCAUUUUCCUCUUCCAACCUUAUUUUCUUGUGCUUGUAUUAUAUUCAGUCUUUUAAUCAAUUCUAACUGCGUGUGUUCCGUGCGUUGUGUUCUUUCUUACCUGUUGUUGCUCUCUCCCUUCUCCUUUUCACUCAUUUCUUUGAUUUAACGACAUAAUAUCUCAUCUUUGUUCGUGUAGAUUCAUUUUUGUAUCUACCUAUGAGGCGGUUGAUGAAAAUCCAAGAUACUGCAGUGGCAGAUUAAUAUAUGUGUAACAAAUUAUGCUUGAUAAUCUGCCCAAAAUUUUCAUGACAUUUAGUCUCGGUCCUUGAUUAUUUUCUUUCGAAGGAGGGUUCCAGGAGUACUGGGCCUCCGUCGGAUGCAGGAGUACUGGGCCUCCGUCGGAUGCGCCGUCAUGCAGUGCAGCAACACCAAAUCACCACCCUUUUCCUCUCUUCUACUCCUACUUGUAUCCGCCAGCUAUGUAGAUUCACCAGCAGCAGCAUCAAUCAAUGGCUGAUAGAUAUAAUGACGGUUCUUGAUUUUCCCAAUCAAUCCAUCGAGCAGGUCGGCGCCGGGACGAUGAACCCCCUCACCUUCAUCCGGGUGCUGGGCCGCGAGCCGUGGAACGUCGCCCGGUGCAGCUCGCUAGGAUGCUCAGGCGAUAGGUUUGUUCUUUCCAUUAGUUCGAUUGAUUCAGGUUUGUCUCGGAUGGUUUGGGUUCAAGGCAUCUUUGAUGCUAUUGUACGGUGGCAUGUAUGUGAUUUACUUCUUUUGUUUGUUCUCUCGACCCUGUCACUCUCCGUUGGAUUUUGGGAGUUUGCCCUGCUAUCCAUCUGUGUGAUGCAGUCCUCCUUUCCAUGUCCUUUUGUUCUUUUUAUUGUGUUUUUUGGUCUUGCUUACAAUUUGUUGGUCAUGCUUAACAUACUCUUGCCUGUAGUUAGACAUUUGUAGCUGAAAGAGAAGUAUAUUAUGCAAUACAGAGGAACUCUAUGAAUUACUCUUUGCCUGGUAACCUUUUUCUAUAUUUACAUUUGUUUCAGGUCCUAUUGGAGUUUAUCUACUGCAAAUGUUCUGCUGCGAUUUAGCUCGGAGCGCUGCCUCGAGUGCUUAGUUUCGUCUUGCCGAGAUUCAUUUUUGUAUCUACCUAUGAGGCGGUUGAUGAAAAUCCAAGAUACUGCAGUGGCAGAUUAAUAUAUGUGUAACAAAUUAUGCUUGAUAAUCUGCCCAAAAUUUUCAUGACAUUUAGUCUCGGUCCUUGAUUAUUUUCUUUCGAAGGAGGGUUCCAGGAGUACUGGGCCUCCGUCGGAUGCAGGAGUACUGGGCCUCCGUCGGAUGCGCCGUCAUGCAGUGCAGCAACACCAAAUCACCACCCUUUUCCUCUCUUCUACUCCUACUUGUAUCCGCCAGCUAUGUAGAUUCACCAGCAGCAGCAUCAAUCAAUGGCUGAUAGAUAUAAUGACGGUUCUUGAUUUUCCCAAUCAAUCCAUCGAGCAGGUCGGCGCCGGGACGAUGAACCCCCUCACCUUCAUCCGGGUGCUGGGCCGCGAGCCGUGGAACGUCGCCCGGUGCAGCUCGCUAGGAUGCUCAGGCGAUAGGUUUGUUCUUUCCAUUAGUUCGAUUGAUUCAGGUUUGUCUCGGAUGGUUUGGGUUCAAGGCAUCUUUGAUGCUAUUGUACGGUGGCAUGUAUGUGAUUUACUUCUUUUGUUUGUUCUCUCGACCCUGUCACUCUCCGUUGGAUUUUGGGAGUUUGCCCUGCUAUCCAUCUGUGUGAUGCAGUCCUCCUUUCCAUGUCCUUUUGUUCUUUUUAUUGUGUUUUUUGGUCUUGCUUACAAUUUGUUGGUCAUGCUUAACAUACUCUUGCCUGUAGUUAGACAUUUGUAGCUGAAAGAGAAGUAUAUUAUGCAAUACAGAGGAACUCUAUGAAUUACUCUUUGCCUGGUAACCUUUUUCUAUAUUUACAUUUGUUUCAGGUCCUAUUGGAGUUUAUCUACUGCAAAUGUUCUGCUGCGAUUUAGCUCGGAGCGCUGCCUCGAGUGCUUAGUUUCGUCUUGCCGAGGUUUCAUUUUCCUCUUCCAACCUUAUUUUCUUGUGCUUGUAUUAUAUUCAGUCUUUUAAUCAAUUCUAACUGCGUGUGUUCCGUGCGUUGUGUUCUUUCUUACCUGUUGUUGCUCUCUCCCUUCUCCUUUUCACUCAUUUCUUUGAUUUAACGACAUAAUAUCUCAUCUUUGUUCGUGUAGAUUCAUUUUUGUAUCUACCUAUGAGGCGGUUGAUGAAAAUCCAAGAUACUGCAGUGGCAGAUUAAUAUAUGUGUAACAAAUUAUGCUUGAUAAUCUGCCCAAAAUUUUCAUGACAUUUAGUCUCGGUCCUUGAUUAUUUUCUUUCGAAGGAGGGUUCCAGGAGUACUGGGCCUCCGUCGGAUGCAGGAGUACUGGGCCUCCGUCGGAUGCGCCGUCAUGCAGUGCAGCAACACCAAAUCACCACCCUUUUCCUCUCUUCUACUCCUACUUGUAUCCGCCAGCUAUGUAGAUUCACCAGCAGCAGCAUCAAUCAAUGGCUGAUAGAUAUAAUGACGGUUCUUGAUUUUCCCAAUCAAUCCAUCGAGCAGGUCGGCGCCGGGACGAUGAACCCCCUCACCUUCAUCCGGGUGCUGGGCCGCGAGCCGUGGAACGUCGCCCGGUGCAGCUCGCUAGGAUGCUCAGGCGAUAGGUUUGUUCUUUCCAUUAGUUCGAUUGAUUCAGGUUUGUCUCGGAUGGUUUGGGUUCAAGGCAUCUUUGAUGCUAUUGUACGGUGGCAUGUAUGUGAUUUACUUCUUUUGUUUGUUCUCUCGACCCUGUCACUCUCCGUUGGAUUUUGGGAGUUUGCCCUGCUAUCCAUCUGUGUGAUGCAGUCCUCCUUUCCAUGUCCUUUUGUUCUUUUUAUUGUGUUUUUUGGUCUUGCUUACAAUUUGUUGGUCAUGCUUAACAUACUCUUGCCUGUAGUUAGACAUUUGUAGCUGAAAGAGAAGUAUAUUAUGCAAUACAGAGGAACUCUAUGAAUUACUCUUUGCCUGGUAACCUUUUUCUAUAUUUACAUUUGUUUCAGGUCCUAUUGGAGUUUAUCUACUGCAAAUGUUCUGCUGCGAUUUAGCUCGGAGCGCUGCCUCGAGUGCUUAGUUUCGUCUUGCCGAGGUUUCAUUUUCCUCUUCCAACCUUAUUUUCUUGUGCUUGUAUUAUAUUCAGUCUUUUAAUCAAUUCUAACUGCGUGUGUUCCGUGCGUUGUGUUCUUUCUUACCUGUUGUUGCUCUCUCCCUUCUCCUUUUCACUCAUUUCUUUGAUUUAACGACAUAAUAUCUCAUCUUUGUUCGUGUAGAUUCAUUUUUGUAUCUACCUAUGAGGCGGUUGAUGAAAAUCCAAGAUACUGCAGUGGCAGAUUAAUAUAUGUGUAACAAAUUAUGCUUGAUAAUCUGCCCAAAAUUUUCAUGACAUUUAGUCUCGGUCCUUGAUUAUUUUCUUUCGAAGGAGGGUUCCAGGAGUACUGGGCCUCCGUCGGAUGCAGGAGUACUGGGCCUCCGUCGGAUGCGCCGUCAUGCAGUGCAGCAACACCAAAUCACCACCCUUUUCCUCUCUUCUACUCCUACUUGUAUCCGCCAGCUAUGUAGAUUCACCAGCAGCAGCAUCAAUCAAUGGCUGAUAGAUAUAAUGACGGUUCUUAAUUUUCCCAAUCAAUCCAUCGAGCAGGUCGGCGCCGGGACGAUGAACCCCCUCACCUUCAUCCGGGUGCUGGGCCGCGAGCCGUGGAACGUCGCCCGGUGCAGCUCGCUAGGAUGCUCAGGCGAUAGGUUUGUUCUUUCCAUUAGUUCGAUUGAUUCAGGUUUGUCUCGGAUGGUUUGGGUUCAAGGCAUCUUUGAUGCUAUUGUACGGUGGCAUGUAUGUGAUUUACUUCUUUUGUUUGUUCUCUCGACCCUGUCACUCUCCGUUGGAUUUUGGGAGUUUGCCCUGCUAUCCAUCUGUGUGAUGCAGUCCUCCUUUCCAUGUCCUUUUGUUCUUUUUAUUGUGUUUUUUGGUCUUGCUUACAAUUUGUUGGUCAUGCUUAACAUACUCUUGCCUGUAGUUAGACAUUUGUAGCUGAAAGAGAAGUAUAUUAUGCAAUACAGAGGAACUCUAUGAAUUACUCUUUGCCUGGUAACCUUUUUCUAUAUUUACAUUUGUUUCAGGUCCUAUUGGAGUUUAUCUACUGCAAAUGUUCUGCUGCGAUUUAGCUCGGAGCGCUGCCUCGAGUGCUUAGUUUCGUCUUGCCGAGGUGCUGAGAAUCCAACGUGAGCAGCUGCUUUUGGAUUUCUACAAUGACCAUAGGUGUUUGAAGAGAAGAUACGAGUGAUAGUGGGCCUGGUGAUGAGGGCAUCAAGACAAAGAGAUUAAUGCACAAUUCUGUUCUUGAUAGGUUGUACAAAUUUCAAGAUGUGAGAAAGAAGAGAAGAGGAAGAGUCUCGAGCAUCUCUCUCUCUAACACAAUCAUGUAUGUCCUGCACGUGGUCCCAACACCUCUCCUCCUGCCUUGCCGCCGUCCAUCCCUGCAUCUCUUCCUCAGCCUCUCGGACAGCACCGAGCUGCGGCCACCCCGUGCUCGAGAGGAGGGGACAAGCAGCCGCAUGGUAGGAGCAGCCGCAACAGCCAUCGAUGCUGCCUCAUCAACCGCGCCUCACGCCACCAUCCGUCCACCAGGUGAACAGGAGAGGCGGAGGAUGAGACAGCCAUCUCGGGUCUUGGGUCCGCCGGAUCUUGAUCCUGCCUCUACAUGGCCUAUCGUCCGCCUCUUCUUUCAUCUUGCGUGGCUGCUCUGCUCGACGUCUUUCUUCCUCGUCAUAGGUGCUCAAUAGGAGAAGCACGAGCAGCCGAGCGUUCUCCUGGUUUAUUCCCUUCUUACUGAUUUACCCCCCAAGCUGCAGCGUCAGCCGCCGCAAAAAUGGACCCCAAAGUGUCCUCGUCCUUGUCCAAUAGGUGCAUUCUCACUUCAGUACGAGUAGAGUAGGAAGAACGAGACAAAGACGAUGAACUUGUGAAUGGAACCAAGACCAACACUCAACCGCGUGCUGAUCUCUGCUAUGUGGAGCCGAGCGUGAGGCCCGACGACAGCCGCUACGGCGACAACCCCAACAGGCUCCAGCGCCACACCCAGUUCAAGUUUCUGUUGUAGAUUCAGUACAGAGAGGCGCCGUGUCUUCCCCAGGCUUGCUGUAAAAAUAUCUUAGUUCGCUUGUGGGCAUUGCAAGGAAUACUGAAAGAAUCUCAUUCGCUUUUCGCGAUGUUUCAUGGACCCAUUCGAACUUUACUUGACAGACAACCAAGUGCUGAAUUUGCCCGUGGUCACCUCCACACAUCACAGUGUUGAAUUCUUCCGAGUCUCGUUUUACUGCUAUCUAAAAUGUUAGCAUUUUUUUCACACAGUGCUUGAGCAGAUAGCAAGCACUGCAUAGUCUAUGAUGCCAAAAUUAGUGUUCCAUUUUUUAGUAGAUAUGGACAUGAAGGCAUUUGUUUUAGUGUCAAAUAUUACUUACUAAUGCCCGCAAAGUAUCGUUGUGUAUUA